Molecule: ribosomal RNA, 231 nt
Filed under: uncultured bacterium
Lineage: Bacteria
Description: partial 16S ribosomal RNA
Rfam family: Bacterial small subunit ribosomal RNA
Source: RNAcentral
CGGACGGGUGAGUAAUGUCUGGGAACUGCCCGAUGGAGGGGGAUAACUACUGGAAACGGUAGCUAAUACCGCAUAACGUCGCAAGACCAAAGAGGGGGACCUUCGGGCCUCUUGCCAUCGGAUGUGCCCAGAUGGGAUUAGCUAGUAGGUGGGGUAACGGCUCACCUAGGCGACGAUCCCUAGCUGGUCUGAGAGGAUGACCAGCCACACUGGAACUGAGACACGGUCCAG